AUACGUAGGGGGCGAGCGUUGUCCGGAAUGAUUGGGCGUAAAGGGCGCGUAGGCGGCCCGGUAAGUCUGGAGUGAAAGUCCUGUUUUUAAGAUGGGAAUUGCUUUGGAUACUGUCGGGCUUGAGUGCCGGAGCGGCAAGUGGAAUUCCCAGUGUAGCGGUGAAAUGCGUAGAGAUUGGGAGGAACACCAGUGGCGAAGGCGACUUACUGGACUGUAACUGACGCUGAGGCGCGAAAGUGUGGGGAGCAAACGGGAUUAGAUACCCUGGUAGUCCACACUGUAAACGAUGAAUGCUAGGUGUAGGGGGUAUCGACCCCUUCUGUGCCGCAGUCAACACAAUAAGCAUUCCGCCUGGGGAGUACGGCCGCAAGGUUGAAACUCAAAUGAAUUGGCGGGG
Molecule: ribosomal RNA, 397 nt
Filed under: uncultured bacterium
Lineage: Bacteria
Description: partial 16S ribosomal RNA
Rfam family: Bacterial small subunit ribosomal RNA
Source: RNAcentral